GGGAAUGUAGCUCAGUGGUAGAGUGUUUGCUUAGCAUGCAUGAAGUUCUGAGUUCAAUUCCUCAGUACCA
This 70-nucleotide transfer RNA is filed under the name Dipodomys ordii (Ord's kangaroo rat). It matches the Rfam family "tRNA". From Rfam's summary of the family: Transfer RNA (tRNA) molecules are approximately 80 nucleotides in length. Their secondary structure includes four short double-helical elements and three loops (D, anti-codon, and T loops). The record is from Rfam by way of RNAcentral. Lineage: Eukaryota; Metazoa; Chordata; Mammalia; Rodentia; Heteromyidae.